GGGGAAUAUUGCGCAAUGGGGGCAACCCUGACGCAGCCAUGCCGCGUGAAUGAAGAAGGCCUUCGGGUUGUAAAGUUCUUUCGGUAGCGAGGAAGGCAUUUAGUUUAAUAGACUAGGUGAUUGACGUUAACUACAGAAGAAGCACCGGCUAACUCCGUGCCAGCAGCCGCGGUAAUACGGAGGGUGCGAGCGUUAAUCGGAAUAACUGGGCGUAAAGGGCACGCAGGCGGUGACUUAAGUGAGGUGUGAAAGCCCCGGGCUUAACCUGGGAAUUGCAUUUCAUACUGGGUCGCUAGAGUACUUUAGGGAGGGGUAGAAUUCCACGUGUAGCGGUGAAAUGCGUAGAGAUGUGGAGGAAUACCGAAGGCGAAGGCAGCCCCUUGGGAAAGUACUGACGCUCAUGUGCGAAAGCGUGGGGAGCAAACAGGAUUAGAUACCCUGGUAGUCCACGCUGUAAACGAUGUCGAUUUGGGGGUUGAGCUUUAAGCUUGGCGCCCGUAGCUAACGUGAUAAAUCGACCGCCUGGGGAGUACGGCCGCAAGGUUA
This 546-nucleotide ribosomal RNA is filed under the name uncultured bacterium. RNAcentral's name for it is "bacterial SSU rRNA". It matches the Rfam family "Bacterial small subunit ribosomal RNA", at positions 356 to 896 of the family's 1533-position model. The record is from RNAcentral.